Molecule: long non-coding RNA, 228 nt
Filed under: Elaeis guineensis (African oil palm)
Lineage: Eukaryota; Viridiplantae; Streptophyta; Magnoliopsida; Arecales; Arecaceae
Description: long non-coding RNA (EGUI_LNC020481)
Source: RNAcentral
GCUGAUAUGUGAAACAGUGGCUUGAGGUGGUUCGGUUUUCUACCGUGGAUGCGUCGUAUGGAACCGAGAAGAGAGAGGAAACCGCGCCGCUGAAAGAGAAGGAGCAGGAAGCUCCUAGACAGCGGACGCCAGGCACUUCAGGAGUUUAGGGGGGGCUUCCAAGAGAGAGAGCUUUUGUGAGGGAAACUUCAGGUAAGAGAGAAAUUGGGUGUACGAAGAUUGAGGGUG